GACAGAGGGUGCAAACGUUGUUCGGAAUUACUGGGCGUAAAGCGCGUGUAGGCGGCUAAGUAAGUCGGGCGUGAAAUCCCACGGCUCAACCGUGGAAGUGCACUCGAAACUGCAUAGCUAGAGUCCUGGAGAGGAAGGUGGAAUGCUUGGUGUAGAGGUGAAAUUCGUAGAUAUCAAGCGGAACACCGGUGGCGAAGGCGGCCUUCUGGACAGUGACUGACGCUGAGACGCGAAAGCGUGGGGAUCAAACAGG
RNAcentral lists this ribosomal RNA (253 nucleotides) under uncultured bacterium. Its description in RNAcentral is "partial 16S ribosomal RNA". It matches the Rfam family "Bacterial small subunit ribosomal RNA", at positions 524 to 776 of the family's 1533-position model. The record is from RNAcentral.